GCUCCGGUGGCCUAGUGGUUAAACCGCCCGACUCGGAUGUGGGAGGUCGCAGGUUCGAACCCUAGCCGAGUCA
Potamilus streckersoni is the source of this 73-nucleotide non-coding RNA. The record is from the annotation of a GenBank genome assembly. NCBI's taxonomy places the organism in Eukaryota, Metazoa, Mollusca, Bivalvia, Unionida, Unionidae.